UGCCCACGUAGUACAACGGUUAGUAUAGGGCCCUGUCGAGGCUCUGACCCGGGUUCAACUCCCGGCGUGGGCGAC
RNAcentral lists this transfer RNA (75 nucleotides) under uncultured archaeon. RNAcentral's name for it is "tRNA-Asp(gtc)". It matches the Rfam family "tRNA". From Rfam's summary of the family: Transfer RNA (tRNA) molecules are approximately 80 nucleotides in length. Their secondary structure includes four short double-helical elements and three loops (D, anti-codon, and T loops). The record is from RNAcentral.